This 520-nucleotide unclassified non-coding RNA is filed under the name uncultured Glomus. Its description in RNAcentral is "SSU rRNA". It matches the Rfam family "Eukaryotic small subunit ribosomal RNA", at positions 569 to 1091 of the family's 1831-position model. The record is from RNAcentral. Lineage: Eukaryota; Fungi; Glomeromycota; Glomeromycetes; Glomerales; Glomeraceae.
AGCAGCCGCGGUAAUUCCAGCUCCAAUAGCGUAUAUUAAAGUUGUUGCAGUUAAAAAGCUCGUAGUUGAAUUUCGGGAUCAAUAUAUCGGUCGUGCCUUGGUACGUACUGGUAUCAUUGGUUUCUCCUUUCUGACGAACCAUGAUGUCAUUAAUUUGGUGUUAUGGGAAGUUAGGACUGUUACUUUGAAAAAUUAGAGUGUUUAAAGCAGGCUUUGGCUUGAAUACAUUAGCAUGGAAUAAUGAAAUAGGACGUUCGAACCUAUUUUGUUGGUUUCUAGGAUCAACGUAAUGAUUAAUAGGGAUAGUUGGGGGCAUUAGUAUUCAAUUGUCAGAGGUGAAAUUCUUGGAUUUAUUGAAGACUAACUACUGCGAAAGCAUUUGCCAAGGAUGUUUUCAUUAAUCAAGAACGAAAGUUAGGGGAUCGAAGACGAUCAGAUACCGUCGUAGUCUUAACCAUAAACUAUGCCGACUAGGGAUCGGAUGAUGUUAAUUUUUUAAUGUACUCAUUCGGCGCCUUAC